GACGAACGCUGGCGGCGCGCCUAACACAUGCAAGUCGAACGGAGCAUUGAGAGCUUGCUUUUAAUGCUUAGUGGCGAACGGGUGAGUAACGCGUGAGUAACCUGCCCUGGAGUGGGGGACAACAGUUGGAAACGACUGCUAAUACCGCAUAAGCCCACGGCCCGGCAUCGGGCUGAGGGAAAAGGAUUUAUUCGCUUCAGGAUGGACUCGCGUCCAAUUAGCUAGUUGGUGAGGUAACGGCCCACCAAGGCGACGAUUGGUAGCCGGACUGAGAGGUUGAACGGCCACAUUGGGACUGAGACACGGCCCAGACUCCUACGGGAGGCAGCAGUGGGGGAUAUUGCACAAUGGGGGAAACCCUGAUGCAGCGACGCCGCGUGGAGGGAGAAGGUUUUCGGAUUGUAAACUCCUGUCGUUAGGGACGAUAAUGACGGUAC
This 437-nucleotide ribosomal RNA is filed under the name uncultured bacterium. RNAcentral describes it as "bacterial SSU rRNA". It matches the Rfam family "Bacterial small subunit ribosomal RNA", at positions 28 to 478 of the family's 1533-position model. The record is from RNAcentral.